RNAcentral lists this ribosomal RNA (396 nucleotides) under uncultured bacterium. Its description in RNAcentral is "partial 16S ribosomal RNA". It matches the Rfam family "Bacterial small subunit ribosomal RNA", at positions 523 to 918 of the family's 1533-position model. The record is from RNAcentral.
AUACGUAGGGGGCAAGCGUUAUCCGGAUUUACUGGGUGUAAAGGGAGCGUAGACGGCGAAGCAAGUCUGAAGUGAAAGGACGGGGCCCAACCCCGGAACUGCUUUGGAAACUGUUUGGCUGGAGUGCGGGAGGGGUAAGCGGAAUUCCUAGUGUAGCGGUGAAAUGCGUAGAUAUUAGGAGGAACACCGGUGGCGAAGGCGGCUUACUGGACCGUAACUGACGUUGAGGCUCGAAGGCGUGGGGAGCAAACGGGAUUAGAUACCCUGGUAGUCCACGCGGUAAACGAUGAUCACUAGGUGUCCGUGGGUAUGACCCAUGGGUGCCGCAGCCAACGCAAUAAGUGAUCCACCUGGGGAGUACGUUCGCAAGAAUGAAACUUAAAUGAAUUGACGGGG